Long non-coding RNA from Clupea harengus (Atlantic herring), 1132 nucleotides. The record is from Ensembl. Lineage: Eukaryota; Metazoa; Chordata; Actinopteri; Clupeiformes; Clupeidae.
UGACUGCAGUUAGAGAAUAUUUCCCAGAUAAUUAGCAUCAGUUUUUAAUGAGUGUUUGUAGCCAACACAGUUUGCCUUUUCACUAGGCUAUAGCUUUGACUCCGAACUUCGUUAAUAGGCUAUAAUAAAUUCGAGUAGGCCUAUUUAAAAUAUAUAUAGCCUAUAAUUCGAACGAAUAUUAGGCAGCCCUUAAUAUUCAAUGAUGUUAUGGGCAUUAUUUUUUGUAAAUGUGUUUGCUUGAACAUUCUAUUCAGAUUCCGAGGCUUCUUCACGUGAAGUUGUGAAUCUCGAGCUCAUUAGGCAUACUAGCAUGUUAUAAAUAUCCUGGCCAUGGAUGCAUUAAUCAUUGCAUCUGUCUUUCAAAGAUGUCUGGUAAAAAACAAAUAAGCAUCCUGUCCUUCGCCCAAAGAGGAAAGCCCCCUAAAAAGGCCAGAUUAGGCCCAGAGAACGUAAACACAUUAGAGGAGGAGAUGGUGGAAGAGGAAGAGACAGUACAGGUGGAGGAGGAGGAGACGGUGGAAGAGAUGGUGGAAGAAACAGUGGAGGAGAUGGCUAGAACAAAAGGGAGAAUAGUCCCAGGAGCAGCCACCUACAAGACCUCUUUUAAUAGUGAAUGGACCUCUAAAUGGCCAUUUAUUACUGUAGGAAGCACCAGCUCAUAUUACUGGUGCUCUAUCUGCCGCCAAGAGAACUUCUGUGCCCAUCCAGGUGUGCGGGAUGUGACAAAGCACAUAGGCAGUAAGGGGCAUCAGGCCAAACAGCAGGCACUGAAGUCAACCAGCGCAGUCAAAAACUUUUACUUGCCAGUGACUGCAGAGAUGAGUGUGCAAGAGGUCAAGGUACAUUUAAAUGCAUAAGGUUGACUACAAUGUUCAUGAAUACCAUUUUUCCUAAUUAAUACAUCCAAUUCUAUGACUAUGGCAUAUAUAAUGGGAACCAACACCAAAAAUGAUAAGAGUCCAAAAAGGCAACAAACACCUAUAAUAAACAACACAAGUCAUAAUUCUCUCUCUCUCUCCCAAAUUGAAUUAAUACUUAGUAAUUGGUUGAAUUGUCAGUGCCAUGUGUCAAAUCUUUUCUGCAAGUCUGAUCAAUUAUUAACAACAACAAAACACUAAUAAUAAUAUGGGGG